UGUGUCCUGGCAAUAUCACAAGCACCAUUACUGAUGAUUGGUGAAAGUUAAAAUUGUCAAUAUCAAAUUUGACUUCUAUUUUGUCAUCAGUAUCAACAUAUUAAAAUUUGAAAAGCUUAGAUUGAAUGGUUUGUGAGUAAAUGCAACAACGUGAAUGGAAACACCAUUUUACGAUCUUUCAAGAACCAUAACUCCUGAACGGUAAAAGUCAAAAUCGUCAUUAUUAAACUUGACCUCUAUUUUGUCAUCAGUAACAACAUAUUAAAAUUUGAAAAGCUUUGGUUGAAUGGUUCAUGAGAAAAUGCACGGACACGACUGGAAACACCAUUU
Molecule: long non-coding RNA, 330 nt
Filed under: Mytilus galloprovincialis (Mediterranean mussel)
Lineage: Eukaryota; Metazoa; Mollusca; Bivalvia; Mytilida; Mytilidae
Source: RNAcentral